CAUGAGAAGAAAAUGAAAGGAAACUAGAGUGAUUGUGGAGUACAGAUAACUGGGAAAAGUGAAAAAGUGAAAGUGUUAGUCAUUCAGUUGUGUCCGACUCUGUGACCCCAUGAACUAUAGCCCGCCAGGCUCCCCUGUCCGUGGAAUUUUCCAAGCAAGGGUACUGGAGUGGGUAGCCAUUCAAGCAGAUAUCAAACUGAAUAUACAGUCACCUGGUUUCACACACACACACACACACACACAGGGACUCUCAACUGGAGGUGACUCUUCUCCCCAGGGGACACCCUUGGCAAUGUCUGGAGACAUUCUUGAAUGUCAUAGCUUGAGGGAUCUGUUGGCAUCAAGUGAGUGGAGUCGGUGCUGCUAAGAUUUUAUAAGACACAGGACAGCCCCCAAAGCCAAGAGAUACCUGGUCCCAACCCAAAAUGUCAGUAGGGUGGAGGUUCACACACACACACACACACACACACACACACACACACAGCCAGCCGCUAUGGAGAGAAACAGUGCAGCCUAAGGGCCAAGUGCAUCACCAGGUUCGAGUCCUAUCUUGAACCUGAUCUUUAGCAAGACUCAGGGUCUGUGGGACAGGGUGUAAAACAGAGCUAAGGAAAGCACCCACCUCCUAGAAGUAAAUGUUAGUGUACAGAGUGCACAGGACCACAAAGGCAGCUAACCCGAGUGCUUACAGGAAAUGUCUACAGGGCUAUUCUUGCGUCAGAGGAGCUGGGGCCACUGUGGUUUUGUUGUUGCUAUUGUUGUUUAGUCACUAAGCCGCAUCCAACUCUUUGUGACCCCAUGGACUGCAGCACACCAGGCUCCUCUGUCCUUCAUUAUCUCCUGGAGUUAAACUCAUGUCCACUGAAUCGGUGAUGCCAUCCAAUCAUCUCAUCCUCUGUCGUCCCCUUCUCCUCCUGCCUUCAGUCUUUCCCAGCAUCAGAGUCUUUUCUAAUGAGACAGCUCUUCGCGUCAGGUGGCCAGAGUAUUGGAGCUUCAGCUUCAGCAUCAGUCUUUCCAAUGAAUAUUCAGGGUUAAUUUCUUUUAGGACCAAUUGGUUUGAUCUCAUUGGUUUAUUUCUUUUAGUUUACUUCCCUACAUUGUCCAAAUUUUAUAUAAUGGACAUAUUUGAUUCUUUCUUUUUUUUAAUUUUCUUAAUGGGAGGGAAGAAGAGGAAAAAAACUGAGGGACAUUCUACAAAGCAACUGCCUUGUACUCUUCAAAAAUGUUGUUGUUUGGUCACUAAGUCUUUUCUGACUCUUUGUGACCCCAUGGACCACAGCACGCCAGGCUCUUCUGUCCUUCACAAAUAUUAAAGUCUUGAAAAACAAAGUAAGGCUGUGGAUUGUUCCAGAUUAAAGACUAAAGAAACCUAACAACCAAACGUGAGGCAUGAUCCCAGUUUACUGGGACAAUCAGAGACACCGGAAAGGGGCCGGCGUAUCAGAUCCCAGGGUUGCAGCAGUGUUACAUCACGGAUGCCAGGCCUAAAUUUGGUAACUACUGUGGUUGCGUAAGACAGAAAGCAAAUGUGGCAAAAUGACAAGUACUGUGAAUCUGAGCGAAGGGUAUAUGGAUGUUCACUGUACUUCUCUUGCAGCUUUUCUGAAAGUUUCUUGACUGUUAAAAAGAAGGGAAUUCCCUGGAAAUCAGGCACUGGUUCAAUCCCUGGUCGGAGAACAAAGAUCCGAAAGCUCACGAAAGCCAGCCGCUUUGCGCUGUAACAGGCACCCCUCUUUCAGGCACCAUGUGGCCUUGUCCAGUGUCUGCCCCCUCGUUACCUAGUAGUGCCAAGGUACCUUUACAGUCCGCCGGAUAAUCAACUGGAUUCUACUCAUGCAAUGGAGCACUGUGGGCAGUGAGUGAAUGGGAACAAAAUACAGGUCCAGGAACCACCUGGCAUCCGCUCGACCCAGCCGCAAGGUUCCACUGAUUCAAUAAACGACCCCAGGCCAAAUCAACACACACUGUUCUGGGCUACCUACCUGGGUCGUAUACUGCAGAGAAAGGCGAGGAAAUGGUUACGGUGAAGGUCAGCAUUGCGCUUACCUGGGGAGGGGUCACCUUCAAGAACACCUGCAAGGAAGCUCUGCAAGGCAGAUUUUCUUAUCUUCAAUGGUGUAACACAUGGACUCAUUUUAUACUCUGAAAUAUAUACUAUACAUUUGUUUUAUACACAAGUAACAAUAAACGUCCCACCAGAAACCUCACUUAAUGUGAGAUGCGCGCUGAACACCGGGGACCAGCCGCUGCGUGCUGGGUGCUGACUGUGUCCAGCGGACCGGGAGGGGUCCGGGCGGGGCGGGGCCGGGGGAUGGCCGCUGGGACCAGGGCUGGGCGGGGAGGCGGUCCGGGGCGCCCCCUGCUGGUGGCCGCUGGGAGUGCAGCCUGCAGAAGAGCGGGCUUCCGGGCCGACCGCAUGAAUGCCAGCUUCCCCUUUCUGCACCCACCGUUGCCCCUGUCACUCCUUCAGCCCCUCCAGUGCUCACGACCUCUUCCUGGGCUUCACCUCAGCAAAAGCUGAAGUCAACUCACCUUCCCCAGGGAACCUUUCCCGAUCAAGGCCACACAACUCUGACCACUUCUUCCCUGACGUCCUUUCUUUGAGGGUGGACAGUUAAUUUGUGUGUACGCUCAGCCGCCCUAGUCAGCAUCACCUUGGUCCACGGAUGUGUGGAGAUAGUGAGGAAGCGGCUGGCUGGAAUUUACUGAGGCCUCCUCCCUGCGGGCACUGUGCUGACUGCUCCGGGCUUCUGCUGCCCCUCCCCCAAGCAUCUUCAUUCACAGACGUGCUCCUUCAGCGUGCACUUAUUCAAACACCUACUCUGUGCCACUCUCUGAGGCUGCAGGACACAAAGUCAGUGGCCACUGCUCCUAGGGGUUCAGUCUGCGGGCAGAGUAGCUGGGUGUUGGUGAUGGGGUAUAAGGGGAGCUCUAAGACAGGCCACACAGCACCCUGGGGACCAGCGAGUAGGGGAGAGGGCGAAGCCGGCUCUAGUGGUGAGCUGGGAGGCGUCCUGGAGAUCUCCAGGCUAGGCGAGAUGUGCGCAGGCCCGGGGCCUGCUGGGGAAAGGCCGCAAGUCAGUGGUGAUGGAGGAGCCCGGGGGAGGGAGUUGGGUCUGCCUCUGGUCUCUGAGAGCCAUCAGAGGGCUCUGCAGAGGCAGGUAGAGGAGUAAAGCCAGAGCAGGAGGCUGCCUGCCACCCCUUCCCCCAGGAGCCAGCAGCCCCGAGAGGGUCAGAGUUCAGAUCCUCCACACAGCCAGAGUAAGUCGAACACCUACUGCGUCGGGCUGCCAGACCAGAGAAGAUGAAUGAGUCCCGGACUUUGCCCUCGAGGAGUCUGGGAUCAGCAUAAGGAUAAGAUAAGCUCUUAGAGUUCUCAGCCCCACACAGAAUGAGAUAAGGAGACAGAGAGGCCCAAGGAGCUGGUGCAGGUGGAGGGGAGCAGAUCGUUCAGUCAUAGGAGGGUCAUCCCUGAGGGCCCUCAGCAGAGGGGGUGGGGCUGACGGGACACUGAGAGCAAAGCUGAUGUGGGAAGGAGCGAGGGAAAGGGGCCGAUCCCUGCCUGGCCAGCCGCGCCAAGUCCUUAGAGGGAGAAGGCUGACUUGCUCUGUGACUUUAGAGAGAUGCUCACCCUUUCUGAGCCCAUGUUCUCACCUCCCAGACCAGCCUCACAGCAGUUACCUCACAAGGUUGCUGGGGUGAUUCCAGAUGAUUGAUGUAGGCAAGCUCCCAGCACACAGAAAGGGCUCAAAAACAUUCCAUUUACUAAGCAAUUUGGACUUUAUCCCUAGGUCUGUGUUUCCAAUGUUUAAAUACUAAUUUUUUAGCAGCAGAAACCUUUUUAUUCAAAUGAAAAUGUUCUCAGAACCCCAUGUUAUAAAAACCAGGCAGGAGUGAGGCUACUAUGGGAGCUGGAGCAGGGGUGGGGGCCGUGCUUCUGUCCACAGCGGGGGCCUGGGCAGUCAAGAGAGCAGAAGGGGUGGGCGGAGCAGGGGCCUGGCUCCUGGGGGGCUCCAGCACAAACUGGAACCCAGAGUCCUUGGCUCCUCUUGGCCACAUUGGACCGUUGGCGGUGCUUCCUCAGGGUGCAAGGUGGAGGCCCAGGGUCGGUCCAGACAUUCAUUGAGCACACACCUGGGCUCGGCUUGGGCUGGGGGCUGAGCUCAUAGGUGAUGGGAGAACAGAAACAUGGGGAGAAUGCAGUGCUUGGGGGAAGCAUGGGGUGCUGGGGGUGCUCGCUGGGCACUUCCGGUCAAGUGGGCUUUAAGAAGGCUUCCUGGAGGCAGCAAAUGAUCCAGCCAAGCUUGGAACAGUUAUUAAUAGUAAGUAAGCCUGACAAAAAGGCUGGGAAGGGUGCUCAGGCAGAGGGAACCGCACGGACUGAGCAGAGACACAGCACAGCCAGUGGAGGUGGAGCCCUAAAGCAAUUCAUUCAUUUUCCCCACGCAAGAAGGAAAGUGGAAAGGUGGGAAGGGGGCAGGACUGUGGUAGACAGGUUUCAUGGCCCGCCAGGGCACCUUCCACCCGCCCCUUCCCCCGCAGGUCCUGGUGGCUGGCAUUGAGGCGAACAUACCUGUGACCUAUGGAAUUGGCAGCCAGAGGGGACACAAGAGCACUGGCUGUCAAUUCAUAGGUCAGAGCCCUGUGCACUCGGUCUUGGCAGCCUGCUCACAGCCCACCGCCCUUCGCCACCCUGGUGCUGGGAGUGUGGCCAUGGGGGUGGGGGUCCCUGCUGGUGUGCUGGGCAGUCGCCGCUUUGCCUCCUCCGUGGGCGUGGCCCCCACCCCAGAUAACAGCAGCCCCACUGGAACUAGAGGUACUUCCACAUGGAGUUGCUGUUACAGGGGGUGGGAGCCAGUUGGAGGCCUGGGCCCUGUCCUCACGGCCCCCGGUCCAGUCUUUUUAUGGAGGCUCCUUAUCAUCUGGGGCCCACACCUGAAGUCUGAUGCCAGCACUCCUUCUGGGCGAAGUCCAGGCUCAACCCCAGAUCUGCUCAUAAAGCUGGGAGUGGCUCCCGUUUACAGCUCCCGGGCAGCCUGUGCCCAAUGACACCCCCACACCCUCUCCCCGAGUCCCUUGUUUCCUCGUUUCUUUCCCAACUAGAGCUGGGCCCCAGGUUCAGGUUUGCCGCUGCGGCCUCCACUCUCUGCCCUUUGCCCACCCUUCCUGCUGCAGCCACAGGGCAGAGACACAGCGAGGGACCACUGGGCACCUGCGAUCUCCAGGGGCCUCUGAAUGCCCAGAACCCUGAGGAGGGCACCAGACACGAAGCUGGAGAUGAGAUGGAGAGAAUGGUGGGGGGACAGGGAAGGGGAGACAGAGAAAGCGGAAGACUGAGGCAGGGGCGCCAAGAGAGGGCGAUGAGAGGGGCAGGCAGAGAAUGGGAAGGAGACAGAGCUGGGGGGCGGGGAGCAUGGGAGAAGGUGCUUGAGACAUCACCCCCCCACAGAAUGCUAAGAACAGGGCUAUCAGCCGCUGCCUUCUGGGAGAGCACUCAGCACCUCAGUGGCCCGACAGCCAGCAGGGUCCUAGGAGCUGGGUGACAUUGAGCAAGUGGCUUAACCUCUCUGAGUGCUGCUGUUCUCAUACCAGGGUGUGUGAGGUCACCCUGGCCAGCGCUGCUGCGGAGCUACCUCCCCUUCCAGCUUUGGGUCUGUCCCCCCAGUUGGGAGAGGAAGCGGGUGUUGGUUGGGGUCCCUGAUCUGGCCCAGGGCCCCUGGGGAACAGCCCUCUCUCCUGCAGUGUGUUCGCAUCCCCACCAAACAGGCUCUGGCCCCUUACAAUAGUAGUCCUGUGAGGCCUAGGGGUCUUUGGAGAACCCAAAGCUUCUAGGGAGAAAGCAGACCUGGGACUCAGAGCUUUUAGAGUGGACCUAGGCUAUGGACCCCUUUCCCAGCAGUGGAAACCAGCCCUGGGGGGCAGAGGAGGCUGCCCAAGGUCACAGAGAAGGUUCUUUUGAAGACCUGUAGGCAAGACCAAGUACGUGGUCUGGCAGAGGCAGGGGCAGCGGCAGAGAUCCCCCUGCUGUCCACUCAGGUUUCCAUCGAUGGAAACCGAGGCCCAGGCGCAGAAAGGACUCGCUUGGGUCACCCAGGAGUUGCCUCGGGGCCCUUCCUUUCUUCUUAGAAGGGCUGGGCUCGGGAGCAUCCAGGGUGGGUGGGCAGAGGGGCUGCAGGGACCUAACCCCACAGGGAAGGCUCUUACCUGGGUGCUGGGCUGGCCCUGC
Bos taurus (domestic cattle) is the source of this 6226-nucleotide long non-coding RNA. Lineage: Eukaryota; Metazoa; Chordata; Mammalia; Artiodactyla; Bovidae. The record is from Ensembl.